Molecule: ribosomal RNA, 208 nt
Filed under: uncultured bacterium
Lineage: Bacteria
Description: partial 16S ribosomal RNA
Rfam family: Bacterial small subunit ribosomal RNA
Source: RNAcentral
CGCGUAGGCGGAUCUGCAAGUCCGUAAGUGAAAUCCCGCCGCUCAACGGCGGGGCUGCUUGGGAAACGGCAGGUCUGGGGACCGGUAGAGGUCGGUAGAAUUCCCGGUGUAGCGGUGGAAUGCGUAGAGAUCGGGAAGAAUACCCGUGGCGAAGGCGGCCGACUGGGCCGGAUCCGACGCUGAUGCGCGAAAGCGUGGGGAGCAAAAC